Molecule: ribosomal RNA, 440 nt
Filed under: uncultured bacterium
Lineage: Bacteria
Description: partial 16S ribosomal RNA
Rfam family: Bacterial small subunit ribosomal RNA
Source: RNAcentral
CCUACGUGAGACAGCAGUGGGGAAUAUUGCACAAUGGUGGAAACCCUGAUGCAGCGACGCUGCGUGAAGGAAGAAGUAUUUCGGUAUGUAAACUUCUAUCAUCAGGGAAGAAAAUGACGGUACCUGACUAAGAAGCCCCGGCUAACUACGUGCCAGCAGCCGCGGUAAUACGUAGGGGGCAAGCGUUAUCCGGAUUUACUGGGUGUAAAGGGAGCGUAGGCGGUUUAGCAAGUCAGAAGUGAAUGCCCGGGGCUCAACUCCGGGACUGCUUUUGAAACUGUUGAACUACAGUGCAGGAGGGUUAAGUGGGAUUCCUAGUGUAGCGGUGAAAUGCGGAGAUAGUAGGAGGAACACCAGUGGCGAAGGCGGAGGACUGGACUGUAAAUGACGCUGAGGCGCGAAAGCGGGGGGAGCAAACAGGAUUAGAGACCCGAGUAGUC